GAUGAACGCUGGCGGCGUGCCUAAUACAUGCAAGUCGAGCGAACAGAUGAGGAGCUUGCUCCUCUGACGUUAGCGGCGGACGGGUGAGUAACACGUGGAUAACCUACCUAUAAGACUGGGAUAACUUCGGGAAACCGGAGCUAAUACCGGAUAAUAUAUUGAACCGCAUGGUUCAAUAGUGAAAGACGGUUUUGCUGUCACUAAUAGAUGGAUCCGCGCCGCAUUAGCUAGUUGGUAAGGUAACGGCUUACCAAGGCGACGAUGCGUAGCCGACCUGAGAGGGUGAUCGGCCACACUGGAACUGGGCCACGGUCCAGACUCCUACGGGAGGCAGCAGUAGGGAAUCUUCCGCAAUGGGCGAAAGCCUGACGGAGCAACGCCGCGUGAGUGAUGAAGGUCUUCGGUUCGUAAAACUCUGUUAUUAGGGAAGAACAAAUGUGUAAGUAACUAUGCACGUCUUGACGGUACCUAAUCAGAAAGCCACGGCUAACUACGUG
This 497-nucleotide ribosomal RNA is filed under the name uncultured bacterium. RNAcentral's name for it is "partial 16S ribosomal RNA". It matches the Rfam family "Bacterial small subunit ribosomal RNA", at positions 28 to 507 of the family's 1533-position model. The record is from RNAcentral.